ACAAACUUGGUCAUUUAGAGGAAGUAAAAGUCGUAACAAGGUUUCCGUAGGUGAACCUGCGGAAGGAUCAUUACAAAAUUGAAGCAUUCGUGCUUUGGCAGCGAGGGGGAAACCCCGGACUGUUAACCCUUUGUGAAAACCCUCUGUUGCCUCGGCGGCACUCCCCUAGGGGAUGGUCAGUCCGCCGGCGGCACCAUUUAAAACCCAUAACCAAUUUGAAGAAGCUGUCUGAAACAUAAAGUCGAAUGACUAUAAAACUUUCAACAACGGAUCUCUUGGUUCCCGCAUCGAUGAAGAACGCAGC
This 304-nucleotide unclassified non-coding RNA is filed under the name uncultured fungus. RNAcentral describes it as "partial contains small subunit ribosomal RNA, internal transcribed spacer 1, and 5.8S ribosomal RNA". The stretch from base 1 to 73 matches the Rfam family "Eukaryotic small subunit ribosomal RNA", at positions 1759 to 1831 of the family's 1831-position model. The record is from RNAcentral. Lineage: Eukaryota; Fungi.